CAGAUGGUGGGUGAGGGGUGAGAAAGAAGCUCCUAAGGAUGUCUCCUAAGGAUGACAUUCUAGAAAAUGGUCCUUGACAUGUUGCCAAUGGAUGCAAUUGUUCAAGUGAACCUCUUGAAAACACUCAGCGCUAGCCAGGCAACUGGAAGCAAUGCUGGAGAACAUGAGCCUGGGAUUCAGGGAGACCUGGUUUCAAGCCUGGUUCCACCCUUUACUGCCUCUGACCUUAGAAAUUUCUAACUUCUCUAAGCCUUCUCUCUGAGCUUCUGGUAGCCUUUUAACAAAUCCCAGUCCUGCUGAAGUUCACCUGGGUUUCCUCAUCUGCACACAGGAUUAAUACAAUGAUAACAAUACUUUCCUUGGAGGGUUGUCGUGGGCUCAGGCGCUUGACCUUGUGCACAGACAAAUCCUCAGUUUUUGAUGUGGCCUACUACACGAAGAACUUCAUUUUGGAUAAAAUGCCCGUAUCCUGGCUGCUUCAUCCUGCAGGCGGCAGGAUUUGGUUCCUUGUGGUUCCAGAUGGUGCCGGAUUUCCCCAUGUUGAGAAGAUAGCUCUCAGUUUGAUGUGGCAGUAUUUGCUGUGGUUAUGUCUUUCAACACACUUCCUGCUUUUCUUACAAAACAGAGACUGCUCAUCCCUCUCUUGGAGGCCACAGCCCAAAUGCUUAUAGGUUUAUUAGAGGGCCAACUUGAGCAGGCCUUGGGCACAUGUUCGGCCCCUCAGUGUGUGGCCUUUUUCUCUGCGAACAUCAGGGUUAAUCUAUUGUGGACUUUACUUUCUGUUGGAGUGAACGAUUGCAAUUCUGUGAGGGGAACAUGAGGUUUGCAGCAACUCACAGCUUCAGCUUUCAAGUGGAAAUCUUGUUUGGCUCCCCCCAGCAACAAGAGAAGAUAGAAUCCAGCCAUUUUUGUAGUCAAGAUUGCCUGGGUCACGUGAUCUCAAUGGCAAUGAUCAUAGUUGCUAGAAAUUCAGAGAUUCCUAAGCUACUGGAGCUGAAAAGGGCCGGAGAACUUCUAAAGGCAACUCCUCUAUGUUUCAGAGGUGGAAGUAGAAGUCCAGAGAGGUUAAAGGACUGGCCCAAGGUCACACAACUAGCCUGAUCUUCAUGGUCAUUGUGGAAUCAUUCCACAAAUAUUUUGGAUGCAUUUCUUUGCUUAGUCAUCCCCAUUUCCUACAACUUCUAACCACCAUAUGAUAAAAUAGUGUAUUAACCAUUUAUUUUUUUAGUGAAUUUUUGCCUUAUGGAAAUAACAAAAACCACGUUACAGAAUAAUUGGAAAAUAGAGGGGAAAAAAAUCACCCACACAAUAUUUGACCUGAUGUCUAUUUAACUAUUACUGUAAAAUCCUUUGGUAUUUUUCUUAUUUUGUUUUUUAAUUAUUAAAAUAUAGUUGCCUGGAGAUAAUAAUUUAAACAGUCUAGAAAGCCGUAAAAAGGAAGUCUUCUUCUCCACUCUUUUCCUAGUUUUCCUCCUAACAGGCAUCCUCUUUUGAUUGUUUCUCUCUCUUCUGGCAGCUGCCUUGGUUGAUAUUGCUAGGUAGCACACUACACGUGUGCCUUCAUUCAGCAGCUUUAAGCACUGCCCGUAGCCUUUUAGCUACGACAGGUGAGUAACUCACUCACUUAUCCACCGUCUUCUCCCACCUCCAAAUCACUGAUAGUUUUUAUAUCUUCCAAUGGUUAACUUUAU
RNAcentral lists this long non-coding RNA (1691 nucleotides) under Equus asinus (donkey). RNAcentral's name for it is "lncRNA (ENSEASG00005031468.1)". Lineage: Eukaryota; Metazoa; Chordata; Mammalia; Perissodactyla; Equidae. The record is from RNAcentral.